This 85-nucleotide transfer RNA is filed under the name Felis catus (domestic cat). It matches the Rfam family "tRNA". From Rfam's summary of the family: Transfer RNA (tRNA) molecules are approximately 80 nucleotides in length. Their secondary structure includes four short double-helical elements and three loops (D, anti-codon, and T loops). Lineage: Eukaryota; Metazoa; Chordata; Mammalia; Carnivora; Felidae. The record is from Rfam by way of RNAcentral.
ACCUGGAUGGCUUAGUCAGUUAAGUGUCUGACUUCUGCUCAGAUCAUGAUCUCACAGUUUGUGGGUUCGAGCCCCACGUCAGGCU